AACGAACGCUGGCGGCAGGCCUAACACAUGCAAGUCGAGCGAUCCUUUCGGGGAUAGCGGCGGACGGGUGAGUAACGCGUGGGAACGUACCCUUUGCUACGGAAUAGCCUCGGGAAACUGGGAGUAAUACCGUAUGUGCCCUUCGGGGAAAGGAUUUAUCGGCAAAGGAUCGGCCCGCGUUGGAUUAGGUAGUUGGUGGGGUAAUGGCCUACCAAGCCGACGAUCCAUAGCUGGUUUGAGAGGAUGAUCAGCCACACUGGGACUGAGACACGGUCCAGACUCCUACGGGAGGCAGCAGUGGGGAAUCUUAGACAAUGGGGGCGAACCCUGAUCUAGCCAUGCCGCGUGAGUGAUGAAGGCCCUAGGGUCGUAAAACUCUUUCGCUGGGGAAGAUAAUGACGGUACCCAGUAAAGAAACCCCGGCCAACUCCGUG
RNAcentral lists this ribosomal RNA (434 nucleotides) under uncultured bacterium. RNAcentral's name for it is "bacterial SSU rRNA". It matches the Rfam family "Bacterial small subunit ribosomal RNA", at positions 29 to 507 of the family's 1533-position model. The record is from RNAcentral.